This 428-nucleotide ribosomal RNA is filed under the name uncultured bacterium. RNAcentral describes it as "bacterial SSU rRNA". It matches the Rfam family "Bacterial small subunit ribosomal RNA", at positions 355 to 775 of the family's 1533-position model. The record is from RNAcentral.
UGGGGAAUAUUGCGCAAUGGGCGAAAGCCUGACGCAGCGACGCCGCGUGGAGGAUGAAGGUCUUAGGAUUGUAAACUCCUGUCAGAUGGGAAGAAAGGUUUAUGUUUAAUAGACGUAAAAUAUGACGGUACCAUCAGAGGAAGCACCGGCUAACUUCGUGCCAGCAGCCGCGGUAAUACGAAGGGUGCAAACGUUAUUCGGAAUCACUGGGCGUAAAGGGUGCGUAGACGGUAUGUUAAGUUCGUUGUUAAAGGCUCCGGCCCAACCGGAGUAUUGCGAUGAAAACUGGCACACUAGAGGGUGAGAGAGAGAAGUGGAAUUCCCGGAGUAGCGGUAAAAUGCGUGGAUCUCGGGAGGAACACCAAUGGCGAAGGCAGCUUCUUGGCUCAUACCUGACGUUGAGGCACGAAAGCGUGGGGAGCAAACAG